UGCUUGCCAAGUGCCCUGAGACAAGAGU
Molecule: non-coding RNA, 28 nt
Filed under: Mus musculus (house mouse)
Lineage: Eukaryota; Metazoa; Chordata; Mammalia; Rodentia; Muridae
Source: RNAcentral